Long non-coding RNA from Rhineura floridana, 582 nucleotides. RefSeq lists it as uncharacterized. Lineage: Eukaryota; Metazoa; Chordata; Lepidosauria; Squamata; Rhineuridae. The transcript has 3 exons. The record is from RefSeq and is a predicted model, not a curated record.
GGACGUGAUGGUAAGGAGGAAGGGAGGGAACCAUGUGAUUACAUCAUCAACUGCCCCCAUCCCUUCCAGAAAGCACAUAACUUUCCAAUGAUAUCUCUAAUUCCACAAAUGAAAACAUAAACGAGUUAAUCAUUGCAUUCGCCAAAGCCUCCUUUUUUCGAUGAGUGUUUAUCUGUAAUCAAUUCCCAUGAAGAGAAGAGACAUGCAUAACGGUUGAGUGUCAAGGAAAGGCCAAGAGCAAGACCAAGUGCCAGAGCACAGAACAGCAAACCUGGGUAGGAGCAUCCAGACUUUUUGCCUACAAAGUUCAAAACUCACCUUUCAUUAUGGGCUCCAAAGAUCACACACUACAGGACAGAUACAGAAGGCUUGAUGAAGGAGGGAUUAUUUCCAUGCAAGGUUGGCCAAGACUUUUUACUGCCCCUAACAGCUGCAUCACAUAAUCUGAGAGGGGCACCCAGGAUCUUUUGCAGUAUUACAAAGCAUGUUGCAGUGCAACUGUCAAAUCACCCUGCUUCACCGGCUCCCUAAAAUCAUUGCUGCUUCAUGGAACUGCUUUUGUUGUUUGUUCGUUUGUUUGUU